This 1376-nucleotide long non-coding RNA is filed under the name Homo sapiens (human). RNAcentral describes it as "HSALNT0405497". The stretch from base 8 to 169 matches the Rfam family "TTC28 antisense RNA 1 conserved region 1". Lineage: Eukaryota; Metazoa; Chordata; Mammalia; Primates; Hominidae. The record is from RNAcentral.
UGCCCCACCCCGGGCACACGAGGCCUCCACUGCGGUUGCGCAGCCUGCCGAAGAGCGUGCGGCUUCUACUGCGGCUGCGCAAGCUCGACGCGCGCACUCUUGUCUGCUUACGAGGGCUCCUCCCUUCAGCUUUGGUCCCUCGGGGCGUCUGGGCAGCCUACGCUUUCCGGAUAAAAAUGGCAGAAUGAAAGAAUUAUGAGUGGAACUAGAGAAUAGGAAAGACAUGAACCAACGCCCAAAAUGAGAAAGAAGGACAUAUAAAGAAAAAGACAAAUACAAGUGAAAAAAAUAGACUAAUGGAUUAACGUCCCUGUCGUGUGACAUUUUCUGAAGUACAGUCUAUAUAAAGACUGUCCAGGACAAAAACUGGCCACUCCAUUCAGCAUUGACAGCAGUAUUUAAAGCUGGUGCAUGGUGAGGUGAAGUUUCUCAAGGGCAAAGACAAUGCCUUCAUGCAUGUUCAGUGUCUGCCCCCGUGGGCUUUGAAAUGAUCGCUGACAAUGGGGGAUCUGCAGUGACUUCUCUGCCUCUGCCAAAGCCCAGGGGUGCUGCUCCCUAAUUCUAAGGAUUCUAAUGAGACUCAGAGCAGGUGUAACACAGGGCAUGGAGCUUCCUGAGCAAGAGGCUGGCUAACAAACUGUGGACGUGGUACUUAGACACAUUAAGAGACAUUACAGGGACACCUGCAAGUAUGUCUCCCUGGGGAGAAGCCAAGUGCAGAUGCUAUGGCCACAGAUGAUAUGGUUUGGCUCUGUGUCCCCACUCAAAUCUCAUCUCAAGUUGUAAUCCCUGGAUGUCGAGGGAGGGACCUGGUGGGAGGUGAUUGGAUUGGUUCGCAUGAUAGUGAGGGAGUUCUCACGAGAUCUGGUUGUUUGAUAAGUGUCUGGCAUUUCUCCUGUGCUGUCUCUCCUGCCACCUUGUGAAGAAGGUGCCUGCUUCUCCUUCGCCUUCCGCCAUGAUUGUAAGUUUCCUGAGGCCUCCCUAGCAAUGCAGAACUGUGAGUCAAUUAAACUUCCUUUCUUUAUAAAUUACCCAGUCUCGAAUGGUAUCUUUAUACCAAUGUAAGAACAGACUAAUACAGACAGGGACCACAAAGCAAGAAUUUAGGGCCUGAAGAGUCUUCAGCAUUGAAAAUCUUCACUCAGAAUCCCUGGUCCCUGCAUUGAGAGCACUGGGUAGAUCACUGAACUCCCCUGACAACACUGCAAAGUGCUGGGUACCUACGAUGCCACACCCUCUCCUCUGACCUCACAGUGUUAAAGUAAGGGGGCCCAUAGUACACGAUGUUACUGUCAGCAUGCUAUGUGUCGUGACUCAGCAACAGCACAUUCACCAAAGGAGAAACCCCUCCGUCUCUCUAUCUAGGCAGCCAGCCU